GGUGGUUCAGUGGUAGAGUGCUUGCCUUGCAUGCAUGAAGCCCUGGGUUCGAUUCCUCAGCACCA
This is a non-coding RNA of Dipodomys ordii (Ord's kangaroo rat), 65 nucleotides long. The record is from Rfam. Lineage: Eukaryota; Metazoa; Chordata; Mammalia; Rodentia; Heteromyidae.